UAUUGGGCAAUGGGCGCAAGCCUGAUCCAGCCAUACCGCGUGAGUGAUGAAGGCCUUCGGGUUGUAAAGCUCUUUUGGCGGGGACGAUGAUGACGGUACCCGCAGAAUAAGCCCCGGCUAGCUUCGUGCCAGCAGCAGCGGUAAGACGAAGGGGGCUAGCGUUGUUCGGAAUUACUGGGCGUAAAGCGAGUGUAGGUGGUUGUCCAAGUUGGAUGUGAAAGCCUUGAGCUCAACUCAAGAAAUGCAUUCAGGACUGGAUGGCUAGAGGACCGGAGAGGAUAGUGGAAUUCCCAGUGUAGUGGUGAAAUACGUAGAGAUUGGGAAGAACACCAGUGGCGAAGGCGGCUAUCUGGACGGUUUCUGACACUAAGACUCGAAA
This 379-nucleotide ribosomal RNA is filed under the name uncultured bacterium. RNAcentral describes it as "bacterial SSU rRNA". It matches the Rfam family "Bacterial small subunit ribosomal RNA", at positions 362 to 758 of the family's 1533-position model. The record is from RNAcentral.